AUGAACGCUGGCGGCGUGCCUCAUACAUGCCAGUCGAGCGAACAGAUGAGGAGCUUGCUCCUCUGACGUUAGCGGCGGACGGGUGAGUAACACGUGGCUAACCUACCUAUAAGUCUGGGAUAACUUCGGGAAACCGGAGCUAAUACCGGAUAAUAUAUUGAACCGCAUGGUUCAAUAGUGAAAUCCGGUUUUGCUGUCACUUAUAGAUGGAUCCGCGCCGCAUUAGCUAGUUGGUAAGGUAACGGCUUACCAAGGCAACGAUGCGUAGCCGACCUGAGAGGGUGAUCGGCCACACUGGAACUGAGACACGGUCCAGACUCCUACGGGAGGCAGCAGUAGGGAAUCUUCCGCAAUGGGCGAAAGCCUGACGGAGCAACGCCGCGUGAGUGAUGAAGGUCUUCGGAUCGUAAAACUCUGUUAUUAGGGAAGAACAAAUGUGUAAGUAACUAUGCACGUCUUGACGGUACCUAAUCAGAAAGCCACGGCUAACUACGUG
Molecule: ribosomal RNA, 496 nt
Filed under: uncultured bacterium
Lineage: Bacteria
Description: partial 16S ribosomal RNA
Rfam family: Bacterial small subunit ribosomal RNA
Source: RNAcentral